CGCGGGGUGGAGCAGCCUGGUAGCUCUUCGGGCUCAUAACCCGAAGGUCGUCGGUUCAAAUCCGGCCCCCGCAACCA
Molecule: transfer RNA, 77 nt
Filed under: Escherichia coli
Lineage: Bacteria; Pseudomonadati; Pseudomonadota; Gammaproteobacteria; Enterobacterales; Enterobacteriaceae
Also listed under: 5 other names
Description: tRNA-Met
Rfam family: tRNA
About the family: Transfer RNA (tRNA) molecules are approximately 80 nucleotides in length. Their secondary structure includes four short double-helical elements and three loops (D, anti-codon, and T loops).
Source: RNAcentral